Oreochromis niloticus (Nile tilapia) is the source of this 1146-nucleotide long non-coding RNA. RefSeq lists it as uncharacterized. NCBI's taxonomy places the organism in Eukaryota, Metazoa, Chordata, Actinopteri, Cichliformes, Cichlidae. The record is from RefSeq and is a predicted model, not a curated record. The transcript has 3 exons.
UUCAGGUGCGUCGGAACAAGGAUGCAUCCAGAAGCUGCAGGACAGUAGCUCUCGAGGACUGGAGUUGGCACCCCUGUUUUAGAGCAACCUAUACGAUCCAGUCUAUUUCUUUUUAAGCAAAGCUCUUGCACAUUUUAGUAAGACAAUGUUAAACUGCAUUCUGCAUCUAGUACAACAGCACAGCUUCAUAGUAGAAGGGUGUGGGUGCUUAGGUGACUUGCUUGCACUCCAGAUGUUACAUCAAAGAAGACCCAGGAAUGUUGAGCAGUUAGAAUCGUCUAUCAGACAACAAUGGAGCAACAUGACAAAAGUCCAGAAGCUGGUCUCCAUGGUUCCCGGACGUUUAUGGACAGUUGUUUGAAGAAGAGUGAAUGCUACGCCGUGGCAAACAUGACCCUGUUCUAAAGUGUCGCUGUCAUGGAACUCAAAUAAGCUAAAAUCUUUCCCUAACUGAGUCCAAACUUUUUCCAAACUGGACUUGUAGAAGAAGCAGGUUGACCUAAAGAGCGGGAGGAAUGAAGGGGCAUGAAAAGAGGGAUUAAUGUGCAGAGACUGAGAUGGAAAUCAAAACUGAGGAUUAAGCUGAGAAUCGGAAGAAGAUUUUGGGUCUUAAAAAGACAAAGAUUGAUAUAGAAAGAGUCAGUGAGUGAGGAUUAGAUCGUCAGACCCGGCCUCCCUGUUGGAUUCUGCCGAACCCUGUUGGCUGUCUCACACUAUUUGCGUGUGUGUGUGUGUGUGUGUGUGUGUGUGUGUGUAGCUUCGUAGCAGUCAGUACGUCCACAUGCUGAUCUGAGCUGACUGUCGGGCAACAGAUGGACAUCUUAAUCUUCCUCAUCAUCCCCUCCUCCAAUAACACUACCAUUAUAGCAUAAUGGUGUCUGGUCUGGCCACCAGAGACACAAGAUUGAUGCAGUGGGCUUUUCCCCCAGAAUAACAUAAACACUGAAAUCAGCUGAUUUGGUAGCAGACUAGCUUUGAUUUUCUUUGUACCAUAUAUAUUUAUAUCUAUCUGUAGAUGGUUAAUGGUGUUAAGUUCAUGGUUUUUCUUUAUUUUCAUGACUAUUUACUUCAUACAUUCUCUCUGAAGGCAUCAAAACUGUGAAUGAACACAUAUGGAAUUGUGUAGUAAAUAAAAAAGUGUGAAAU